GGGGCGCGGCGGGACCCGGGCGAUCCUGGAGGGGAGGGUGUGUUGAGUGCUCCUGAGCCCCUGAAAAUACCGACUGCGAGAGGCGCUCAAACGGUGAGCCCAAAGGACGCGUGGAUUAAAGACCAUCGUUUGAAAAGAAAUGAGAGUCGUUUCCUGCCGAGGAAGAAAUAGGGACCGAGAAACCGGAGACGAAAAAGGCGGCUGCGAGGGCAGAGCUUGAGCAGGGGGUGCAGGCUGUGCUCCCAGCUCUUAGGUCGCCUACUCCGCACCGUUAAGUCGCCCCACCUUCCCGUUCCUCCGAAAGCCAGGACUUUGGCCUUGGGCCUGGUCCUCAGGGACAAAGUGCUGCGACAGAGGAUGUCACCACCAAGACCUUUACUGCUGGGGAAACUCGAGACGGUUCAAAGUCAUUUGGGUUCGUGCUACGUCCAGGCUGUGUUUUUGCUCUAAACAGAACAGGUUGGACUUGCCAGACCUUGGUGAGGAGGAGUUAGGCAGAUGUACACAGCCGGAAUUAGCUGUAUCAGGGACCAAGAGUUGUCAUAUUUCUGUAGCAAAAGCUGCUAAGCAACUUCCUUUUGCUUUCCAUCUUAAUCAUCAUCAGGUGCAGCACUGUUAUGGCAAAAAGCCUCCCUAAGAGCCGCGGUUCGUAGCUGGCCUGGAUUCCCUGAUGAACAUAAACAAUGUCAUAGAAUAUUGACGUCAGAUGAGGUCUCUGACAGAAUGGAAGAAGAAAAUAAGACUGAUCAUGCGUAAACAGAUAAAAAAAAAAAAGACACUGUGCAACCACAAAAGGAUGACCAAACAGCUUUCCGCAGCUAACACGAGUGACUACUGCUUUUCCACUGACAACUCUAGCCCUGCUCCAUUCCUCCUACUUUCUAGAUUAAGAUAAUCAUUGAAUUGCCCCUGCUUUCUAACAGUAUCCAAUCCAGAACAGACCCGUUUCCUUGGACCCUCCCCAAAAUCACCUAACACCAGUCCAAAUACUAUAAUAAGCCGGCUUUAGCACUCCUUUCAUGAGACGCCCACCCCAUGGUUCCCCAUGGUGUGAGGUCUUCCACUCUGCAGCAACUAAUAACCCUUCAUUGCCAGACAAUAAGUAUGUCCUUGGUAGUCUGACCGGUGGGCACUGCCAGUAUGAAUAAACUUUGAUAUUUAUACAUGAAUUAUACGUAACUCAUACACCAAAAAAAAAACAACACCCUAGAGCCUAUACUUUAAUGAGAAAUCAAACAUUGUGAAUGGUAAAAUGGGACGAGAUCUUGGUGUAUAAAAAGCUUAUAUGCUAAGUGCAAUGUGGGAUUCCGGAUGGGCUCCUAGAACAGUACAAGGACAUUAAUGAUAAAAUCAGGUUAAAGUCUGUAAUUUAAGAGUAUUGUGCCAAUGUGAAUUUCUCAGAUUUGACAAAUGUGCCAUAGUUAUAUCAGACAUUAAGUAUAGGAGAAAUGGUGAAGAGUAUACAGGAGCUCCCUAUCUUUGCAACUAUUCUGUAGAUUUAAAAUUACUCCAAAAUAAACAUUUUUUAAAAAA
RNAcentral lists this long non-coding RNA (1533 nucleotides) under Equus asinus (donkey). Its description in RNAcentral is "lncRNA (ENSEASG00005023715.1)". The record is from RNAcentral. Lineage: Eukaryota; Metazoa; Chordata; Mammalia; Perissodactyla; Equidae.